This 487-nucleotide ribosomal RNA is filed under the name uncultured bacterium. RNAcentral describes it as "bacterial SSU rRNA". It matches the Rfam family "Bacterial small subunit ribosomal RNA", at positions 22 to 504 of the family's 1533-position model. The record is from RNAcentral.
GCUCAGGAUGAACGCUAGCGGCAGGCUUAACACAUGCAAGUCGAGGGGCAGCACGGGUAGCAAUACCUGGUGGCGACCGGCGGAAGGGUGCGUAACGCGUGAGCAACAUGCCCUAUACAGGGGAAUAAACCAGGGAAACUUGGUCUAAUGCCCCAUAGCAAUAAGAUAAGGCAUCUUAUUUUAUUUAAAGCUUCGGUGGUAUAGGAUUGGCUCGCGUGACAUUAGCUGGAUGGUGGGGUAACGGCCCACCAUGGCGAUGAUGUCUAGGGGUUCUGAGAGGAAGACCCCCCACACUGGGACUGAGACACGGCCCAGACUCCUACGGGAGGCAGCAGUGAGGAAUAUUGGACAAUGGAUGGAAAUCUGAUCCAGCCAUGCCGCGUGCAGGAAGACGGCCCUAUGGGUUGUAAACUGCUUUUCUACGGGAGCAAUAAGGUCUACGCGUAGACUGAUGAGAGUACCGUAGGAAUAAGCAUCGGCUAACUCC